RNAcentral lists this ribosomal RNA (436 nucleotides) under uncultured bacterium. Its description in RNAcentral is "bacterial SSU rRNA". It matches the Rfam family "Bacterial small subunit ribosomal RNA", at positions 355 to 796 of the family's 1533-position model. The record is from RNAcentral.
UGGGGAAUAUUGCGCAAUGGGCGAAAGCCUGACGCAGCCACGCCGCGUGAGUGAUGAAGGCCUUCGGGUUGUAAAGCUCUGUCGGGAGGGACGAAAGGCCGCAAGGCCCUGACGGUACCUCGCAAGAAAGCACCGGCUAACUCUGUGCCAGCAGCCGCGGUAAUACAGAGGGUGCAAGCGUUGCUCGGAUUUACUGGGCGUAAAGCGUACGCAGACGGCCACGCAGGUCGGGUGUGAAAGCCCCGGGCUCAACCCGGGAAUUGCAUUCGAAACCAUGUGGCUCGAGUGUGGGAGAGGGUAGUGGAAUUCCUGGUGUAGAGGUGAAAUUCGUAGAUAUCAGGAGGAACACCGGCGGCGAAGGCGGCUACCUGGUCCACAACUGACGUUCAGGUACGAAAGCGUGGGGAGCAAACAGGAUUAGAUACCCCGGUAGUCC